CGGUUAAAAAGCUCGUAGUUGGAUUUCUGUUGAAGUCAGCCGGUGCACACUUCGUGUGUUAUUUGGCCUGGCUUUGGCAUCCUCUGGGGGAACGUCUCUGGCCUUAAUUGGACAGGGCGAGAUUCCAGACUCUUACUUUGAGGAAAUUAGAGUGUUCACAGCAGGCAAGUGCUUUGAAUACAUUAGCAUGGAAUAAUAAUAUAGGACCUUCGUUCUAUUUUGUUGGUUUCUAGGACUUAGGUAAUGAUUAAUAGGGACAAUUGGGGGCAUUCGUAUUAACGCGUCAGAGGUGGAAUUCUUGGAUUGCGUUACGACGAACUACUGCGAAAGCAUUUGCCAAAGAUGUUUUCAUUGAUCAAGAACGAAAGUAUGGGGAUCGAAGACGCUUAGAUACCGUCGUAGUCUAUACCAUAAACCAUGCCAACUAGGGAUGUGACGGGUACUCUUUUAUGGCUCGUUGCGCACCUUAUGAGAAAUCAAAGUUUUUGGGUUCCGGGGGGAGUAUUGUCGCAAGGCCGAAACUUAAAGGAAUUGACGGGAGGGCACCACCAGGAGUGGAGCCUGCGGCUUAAUUUGACUCAACACGGGAAAACUCACCAGGUCCAGACAUAGUGAGGAUUGACAGAUUGAUAGCUCUUUCU
This 641-nucleotide ribosomal RNA is filed under the name uncultured marine eukaryote. RNAcentral's name for it is "SSU rRNA". It matches the Rfam family "Eukaryotic small subunit ribosomal RNA", at positions 616 to 1262 of the family's 1831-position model. The record is from RNAcentral.